This 429-nucleotide long non-coding RNA is filed under the name Gallus gallus (chicken). RNAcentral describes it as "lncRNA (ENSGALG00010000390.1)". The record is from RNAcentral. Lineage: Eukaryota; Metazoa; Chordata; Aves; Galliformes; Phasianidae.
CCCCGAAAGCAGCGGCAGCGGCGGGAAGGGGCUCCAAGGAGCAAAGAAGUUCCUUACUGUGAGGCUGCCAUGGCAGACGUUUUCUUUGGAAUAUACAAGUGGUGUUCCAGUGCGUAAACGUGGGAGGAUACAGGACAGGAGACCUGGAACGUCCGUGCCGUGAGAGACCGGCCGGUCCUCCUGCAGUCCUCUCACACCUGCAGGGUCAGAACAGGUGAACAGACUGAGACGGCUGUUGGUGUGCAGUCCCUGACAGGAGCAGCGGAAGAGCCUUAAGGAAGCGGGGCUCUCCCAGAAGAGAGAGGCACGCAAACACUGCUGCUGUAAAGCUCCUGGAGGGCCGUCCGCAGGCUGCGCUCCUCCUCGUCCUCGUCGUCGUCGUCCUCGUCCUCGUCGUCGUCCUGCUGCUGCUGCUGCUGCUCCUCCUCG